RNAcentral lists this ribosomal RNA (497 nucleotides) under uncultured bacterium. RNAcentral describes it as "partial 16S ribosomal RNA". It matches the Rfam family "Bacterial small subunit ribosomal RNA", at positions 28 to 507 of the family's 1533-position model. The record is from RNAcentral.
GAUGAACGCUGGCGGCGUGCCUAAUACAUGCAAGUCGAGCGAACAGAUAAGGAGCUUGCUCCUUUGACGUUAGCGGCGGACGGGUGAGUAACACGUGGAUAACCUACCUAUAAGACUGGGAUAACUUCGGGAAACCGGAGCUAAUACCGGAUAACAUAUUGAACCGCAUGGUUCAAUAGUGAAAGGCGGCUUUGCUGUCACUUAUAGAUGGAUCCGCGCCGUAUUAGCUAGUUGGUAAGGUAACGGCUUACCAAGGCAACGAUACGUAGCCGACCUGAGAGGGUGAUCGGCCACACUGGAACUGAGACACGGUCCAGACUCCUACGGGAGGCAGUAGUAGGGAAUCUUCCGCAAUGGGCGAAAGCCUGACGGAGCAACGCCGCGUGAGUGAUGAAGGUCUUCGGAUCGUAAAACUCUGUUAUCAGGGAAGAACAAAUGUGUAAGUAACUGUGCACAUCUUGACGGUACCUGAUCAGAAAGCCACGGCUAACUACGUG